Molecule: long non-coding RNA, 1233 nt
Organism: Cannabis sativa
Lineage: Eukaryota; Viridiplantae; Streptophyta; Magnoliopsida; Rosales; Cannabaceae
Exons: 2
Source: RefSeq, a predicted model, not a curated record
AGGCCCAGAUUUAUCAGGAUGCAUUUAGAACAAAACAUCUUUAACUUCUUCACCUAAAAUAGGCAUCAGUAUAGCUAAAUUAUGAGCAACAGUAAUCGUCAUGAGAAUACAAUCAAUAACCUCUUGCCAAUGAACCAAAGAAGCUGAUAAAAUAUUAGAAAAAUAAUCCACCAUCACCAUUUGGGAUUUUAGAUUUCAUCGUGUAAAAACGUCAUUAAUUUUAAACACAUGAUAAAAAACCAAACCCAAGAAUUAGCCCUCUUCUUCUCCAAUCAUAUUUCUUUCUCCGAUCACUACACCUCCGCCCUUUGCCCGAGCUCACAUCCGGCAUCCCUCUCUCCGAUCUUUCCUUCUCCUUCUAUCCAACAAUGGAUUUCAUGAAGUUUUUGACCAGACAGUUCGCGAAAUAUCAAUAUUCUCUUCUCACCUUUUUGAUUUUGCAAUUAUUUUAUUUUAAUUAUUCUCGAUUUUCUUUUUUAUUUCUCCAAUAUUUGAAUGAGAGUUGAAUUAAACUUGAUUAAUUUUGAAAUUUGUAGAAAGAGGGAGGUUAAUUUGAAGGUUUUGGAGAUUGAAUAGAAAGUGAUUCAAUAAAAUACAGUCGAAUAUUCAUAGAUUAUAUAAAUAUAUUUGAAAUUGUUGGAUAGUAGUAGUAUAAACAUGGUGUUUACUGAUUUUUUUCUUUUGGAUUGAGUUAUGAUCCUUUUCAUUUGGUUUAGGUAACAUUCUAAUUAUUGAUACAUGCCGUAUUAGAUGCAAGAGACAAUGAAUUUUGGGGUCCUCUAUACUAAUACUCUGUUUUUGAGAAAGACAAGCUCAUACUCUUAUCACCGUCUUGCGAAGUGUCAAGAUGGUUAUGAAUGUGUUGUUUGUGGACAAGAUUGGACAAAACCGGCAAGGAUUGGGGCUAUGUCUAUAAGGUGAGGGUGUAUAUUUUUUUAUUAUCUCAUUAAUUACUCUCGAUUCAAAAUGUCUUUGAUUUCCAACUUCAAUAACAAAUCCUUUCAUAAAUUUCACCUUAUUUUCUUUUCAAUUUCAUUUAAGAAUAUUUUUAAUUGUACGUACUACUUUAUGAAUACGGGACUUAAAAAAUAUAUAGCUAGUUAUAAUUUAGAGGUUAUUUUUAUUUGGUGUGUAUUCUUACAAGCAUUUUACUUUACAAAAAAGGCUUAACAACUGCUCCUAAUGUUGUUUACAGAGUGAACUGUGUAGAUGGUUCCGUAGUAAUUUUCUCAA